This is a non-coding RNA of Camelina sativa (false flax), 318 nucleotides long. The record is from RefSeq and is a predicted model, not a curated record. Lineage: Eukaryota; Viridiplantae; Streptophyta; Magnoliopsida; Brassicales; Brassicaceae.
AACUGGAGAUGGUGAGGAUUAAUGGCUGCAAGAAAGGUGACUCUUCCAAUAUGAUAGGAAGCCAAGUAGCCACCCUCGAUGUAUCAAGAUCUUGGUUUCGGACUAUAUACCAAGUGUUCCCAUCUGUUGGAGCUUGUUGAAGAAUAAUAAAUCCUCAAUUGCUGAUUUUGAUCCAAGAUUGUUAGGUCUGCUAAUUCGCAUAUUACCAAUUCAGUGACUCUUGGUUCCAAAUUCGUUUUGGUGGUCAUAGUCUUCUUUAGUCAUGGUUUGGUUCUAAGCGAGUAAGAAUCUCUUUCCAAUCUUCUCUGUUUUCUCUCU